AAUCAACGCUGGCGGCGUGCCUCAGACAUGCAAGUCGAACGAUUAAAGCUCUCUUCGGAGAGUGUAUAGAGUGGCGCACGGGUGAGUAACACGUAAGUAAUCUACCUUUGAGUGGGGAAUAACAGUCGGAAACGACUGCUAAUACCGCAUAAUGCAGCGGCAUCGCAAGAUGACAGUUGUUAAAGGAGCAAUCCGCUUAAAGAGGAGCUUGCGGCAGAUUAGCUAGUUGGUAAGGUAAUGGCUUACCAAGGCUACGAUCUGUAUCCGGUCUAAGAGGACGGUCGGACACACUGACACUGAAUAACGGGUCAGACUCCUACGGGAGGCAGCAGUCGGGAAUUUUGGG
RNAcentral lists this ribosomal RNA (346 nucleotides) under uncultured bacterium. RNAcentral's name for it is "bacterial SSU rRNA". It matches the Rfam family "Bacterial small subunit ribosomal RNA", at positions 32 to 368 of the family's 1533-position model. The record is from RNAcentral.